UAUUGGAAGUUUGAUCCUGGAUCACGACAAACGCUGGCGGCGUGCCUAAUACAUGCGAGUCCAGCGGACAGAAAGGAGCUUGCUCCCGGAAGUCACCGGCGGACGGGUGAGUAACACGUGGGCGACCUGCCCUGCAGAUUGGGAUAACUCCGGGAACCCGGGGCUAAUACCCAAUAACAUUGGAAACCUCAUGGUUUCCUUUUAAAAGGCGGCUUCCGCUGUCACUGCAGGAUGGGCCCGCGGCGCACUAGCUAGUUGGUAAGGUAACGGCUCACCAACGGCGACGAUGCGUAGCCGACCUGAGAGGGUGAUCGGCCACACUGGGACUGAGACCCCGCCCAGACUCCUACGGGAGGCAGCAGUAGGGAAUCUUCCGCAAUGGACGAAAGUCUGACGGAGCAACGCCGCGUGAGUGAAGAAGGUUUUCGGAUCGUAAAACUCUGUUGUCAGGGAAGAACAAGUACGGGAGUAACUGCCCGUACCUUGACGGUACCUGUCCAGAAAGCCACGGCUAACUACGUGCCAUCAGCCGCGGUAAUACGUAUGUGGCAAGCGUUGUCCGGAAUUAUUGGCGCGUAAAGCGCGCUGCAGGCGGCCCUUUUAAGUCUGAUGUGAAAGCCCACGGCUCAACCGUGGAGGGUCAUUGGAAACUGGAAGGCUUGAGUGCAGAAGAGAAGAGCGGAAUUCCUCGUGUAGCGGUGAAAUGCGUAGAGAUGUGGAGGAACACCAGUGGCGAAAGCUGGUUUUUUGGUCUGUAACUGACGCUUGAGGCUCCGAAAUUGUGGGGGAGUGAA
This 794-nucleotide ribosomal RNA is filed under the name uncultured bacterium. Its description in RNAcentral is "bacterial SSU rRNA". It matches the Rfam family "Bacterial small subunit ribosomal RNA", at positions 1 to 772 of the family's 1533-position model. The record is from RNAcentral.